CCGAUCAAAGUAAUGUCAGUAACUAAAAGUGAAUUAGGAGGAUAAACGGGAUUAGAGACGUUUUGGCCAAGGGCCAUAAUUAAGAAAAGGCUAAUCACAAGUCCAUUAGAAAAACUAUAAAUAGAGGUCAAAGGUAAGAGUAGGUAGGUUACAUUGAAUGUACAUUUAUUCUCGAUCACUGUUUUCUCUUUCUAUCUCUACACUGGA
This 207-nucleotide long non-coding RNA is filed under the name Vigna radiata. Its description in RNAcentral is "long non-coding RNA (VRAD_LNC010358)". The record is from RNAcentral. Lineage: Eukaryota; Viridiplantae; Streptophyta; Magnoliopsida; Fabales; Fabaceae.